Molecule: transfer RNA, 74 nt
Filed under: Sedimentibacter sp.
Lineage: Bacteria; Bacillati; Bacillota; Tissierellia
Description: tRNA-Val
Rfam family: tRNA
About the family: Transfer RNA (tRNA) molecules are approximately 80 nucleotides in length. Their secondary structure includes four short double-helical elements and three loops (D, anti-codon, and T loops). Further hydrogen bonds mediate the characteristic L-shaped molecular structure. tRNAs have two regions of fundamental functional importance: the anti-codon, which is responsible for specific mRNA codon recognition, and the 3' end, to which the tRNAs corresponding amino acid is attached (by aminoacyl-tRNA synthetases). tRNAs cope with the degeneracy of the genetic code in two manners: having more than one tRNA (with a specific anti-codon) for a particular amino acid; and 'wobble' base-pairing, i.e. permitting non-standard base-pairing at the 3rd anti-codon position.
Source: RNAcentral
GGACGGUUAGCUCAGCUGGUUAGAGCGCCACGUUGACAUCGUGGAGGUCGUUGGUUCGAUCCCAAUAUCGUCCA